UUCACUGUUUGACUAAUCUGACCACUCUUCACUACGAAUCAAAUUUCUCAUUAUAAAGAAUUCGAAAUAUGUUAUCAUUUAUUUCAUUUGAAACUAGACUCAUUAGGGAGUCUAAGAAUAUAAAUUUUAUCUUAUAACCAUUUUUUUACCAUUUAUAAUGAUUUUCUGAAAACAGAACAGGGGACCUCGAAGUCAUUUUGACUCUGUUCCACGCCACUUCAAAUAUCUCAUUAUUGGCAACUCUUUUGCUUACACGGUUUCUUUUAUAAAAACUAGACUCAUUAAGAUUUCAUGACAUAAUUUAUUCAG
RNAcentral lists this long non-coding RNA (309 nucleotides) under Gossypium barbadense (sea-island cotton). RNAcentral describes it as "long non-coding RNA (GBAR_LNC005647)". Lineage: Eukaryota; Viridiplantae; Streptophyta; Magnoliopsida; Malvales; Malvaceae. The record is from RNAcentral.